Molecule: non-coding RNA, 21 nt
Organism: Caenorhabditis elegans
Lineage: Eukaryota; Metazoa; Nematoda; Chromadorea; Rhabditida; Rhabditidae
Source: Ensembl
UCUUUUCGAUCACGGCUGACA